This 580-nucleotide ribosomal RNA is filed under the name uncultured bacterium. Its description in RNAcentral is "bacterial SSU rRNA". It matches the Rfam family "Bacterial small subunit ribosomal RNA", at positions 102 to 670 of the family's 1533-position model. The record is from RNAcentral.
ACGGGUGAGUAACGCGUAGGCAACCUGCCUGGUAGCGGGGGAUAACUAUUGGAAACGAUAGCUAAUACCGCAUAACAGUAGAUAUUGCAUGAUAUCUACUUGAAAGGUGCAAUUGCAUCACUACCAGAUGGACCUGCGUUGUAUUAGCUAGUUGGUGAGGUAACGGCUCACCAAGGCAACGAUACAUAGCCGACCUGAGAGGGUGAUCGGCCACACUGGGACUGAGACACGGCCCAGACUCCUACGGGAGGCAGCAGUAGGGAAUCUUCGGCAAUGGACGGAAGUCUGACCGAGCAACGCCGCGUGAGUGAAGAAGGUUUUCGGAUCGUAAAGCUCUGUUGUAAGAGAAGAACGAGUGUGAGAGUGGAAAGUUCACACUGUGACGGUAUCUUACCAGAAAGGGACGGCUAACUACGUGCCAGCAGCCGCGGUAAUACGUAGGUCCCGAGCGUUGUCCGGAUUUAUUGGGCGUAAAGCGAGCGCAGGCGGUUAGAUAAGUCUGAAGUUAAAGGCUGUGGCUUAACCAUAGUACGCUUUGGAAACUGUUUAACUUGAGUGCAAGAGGGGAGAGUGGAAUUCC